UGAGGAAUAUUCCACAAUGGGCGCAAGCCUGAUGGAGCGACGCCGCGUGAAGGAAGAAGGCCUUCGGGUUGUAAACUUCUUUUUUUGGGGAUGACACACAGGUAGCCGCAAGGUAUACCAGUUAGGACAGUACCCAAAGAAUAAGCCUCGGCUAACUACGUGCCAGCAGCCGCGGUAAUACGUAGGAGGCGAGCGUUGUCCGGAUUUACUGGGCGUAAAGCGCGCGCAGGCGGCAUGACAAGUAAGGUGUGAAAUCUCCCUGCUCAACGGGGAAACCGCAUUUUAGACUGUCAAGCUAGAGGACGGUAGAGGGGGGUAGAAUUGCUGGUGUAGCGGUGAAAUGCGUAGAGAUCAGCAGGAAUACCCGUGGCGAAGGCGGCCCCCUGGGCCGAACCUGACGCUGAGGCGCGAAGGCUAGGGGAGCGAACGGGAUUAGAUACCCCUGUAGUCC
RNAcentral lists this ribosomal RNA (451 nucleotides) under uncultured bacterium. Its description in RNAcentral is "bacterial SSU rRNA". It matches the Rfam family "Bacterial small subunit ribosomal RNA", at positions 355 to 796 of the family's 1533-position model. The record is from RNAcentral.